UCCCAAUCAACCCAUCUCACAGUAUACUUAAGAUACACAGUUCUUGUUUUGUUUCCACUUUCGAAUCCGUUUCUUAACCGACAUUGAGUCUUAUCGUAGCAGCAGUCUUGACCUCCUUUGUAUCCAGGUUCUAAAGCUCGACCGUACUCAUCAACCGUUACAUUAUAAAGACCACACCGACACUCGGUGCAUCCUUGUUUAUCCACAACCCCUCUAGUGUCAAUAGCGUGAAUAUUUAGAAGCCAUUUGAACUCAUACCCAUCAGGUACUUUCUCCGGGUUACCGAUCUCGAUCGCGUAAGGAUCAGGAACAUACGUCGAAGUCUUGCGUGUUUCUGAUCCUAACCCAAAGUAUUGUCUAACUCUGUUCCUACACAACCCUCCGUUACUAACGAGAAUAUAAUCAGGGCUCGAACCAAGGUUCCUAGGCGUGUCUAGGUGCGAAAGGUUGAGACCUUUACGCACGUAGUAAGGGUGCACAACCCAGUGGUGGAGAUAUGUCUCGUGUAACGGGACGGGGUUACCGUCUUGGUCGACUACUUCGGCGUCGAAACCUUUGAGGCCGAUGUGGCCUCUAGGGAAAUCGAUGUCGAACAGGUAAGGGUCUGCGACUGAUCCUGGAGUCAUGACUUGUUUUGGUGAUAGGAAACUUGCGGACUUGAUGUUAAUGCUGUGGCUAGGCGAUAUGCUUAACGCGACCAGAAGAAGAAGUAAGGACGAGAUGAUCAGGUAACAACGAGCCAUUUUGUCCUGUUUCGAUAUCGUUAUAGAGAGGUAAUAAAUGAAGUAAAACUGAUAAAAUACGUAAUCAUGAACCGGUUUGACCUAAACCGAGAUCUGUUACCGGCAGUUUACCUGCAAGAAGCUCUCCGGUCCAGGCAGCUGCUGAGAAACGAGGAUGUAAAAGAGUCCCAUGACUCCUGUAUGACCAAUGACAUUACUGUAAUUGAACUCCAAAGACAGUGUCUCUCCAUUAGUCACUUUCACCGGUUCAGGAUAACAAGACGACAUUCCAACGAUGUAACCAGCUUCGCUUCCAGGCUCAUCUCCAUUGCCAUACUUCGGCAUCGAGGAGCAUAUUACCUCACCGUCCUGAUCAAAAUCCAUAACACAAGAGUCUCAGUUUUUGAGUAAAAAGUUUUUGCCUUAGCUUAAAACCUUAGGUUGGGUGUUUAUACCCAAACCCGAAAUCCGAACUGAGACCAAACCAAAAUUCUAUCUAAACCAUCAUAAAAAAUAUCCAAAUAGAGUCUAAGAAUACUUUCGGACUCGGGUACAAUCCAAACCAAACUAAAAUCCGUACUAGAAUCCAAAAAAUCCACAUUAGUUAAUCUGUUAAUGUUUUUUUCUACAUAUGUUACGUUAAGAUAGUUUAGAAAUUUUUAAAAAAAUUAGAAUUUUUUGUAGUUUUUAUAGGAAUUGCGAAUCGUUAUUUUGGAAUACUUUUAAUUAGUUUAGGUAGCUUGACAAGUUUUUAAUCAGAUUUUUGAUUUUUUUGUAUAUUUUAAAUAUGUUUUUGUCAAUUUCAUUAAUUUUAUUUCCAGAUUUAAGUACGAUUUUUAGACAAUGGUUAUAAUUUGAUUUGAAUCAAACACAUACGAAAUCGAAUCAAACCCGAUCCAAAAACUAGUAAAAUAUGAAUAAGACCAUUGUGCAUGAUACCGAAAAUCCAAAACAAACCCCUAACAAGACACCAAACGUCCGGGCCUGUUAAAAACUAACCUCUCGGUACAGAGCUGCACCGAUACCACCUGCGUGCUGGUGAGCUACUCCAUAGACAAUAUACCCGUUAAACGGCAUCAUUAAGCUCUUUUUCUUAACAUCAACACACCCAUCACCCUUAGUUUUGCACGGUUUCACGUCAUAUUCCACCUGAAAAGAAAGCAAUUAAUACACCUUAGCUAACGUUUUUAAGUAAUAAAAGCAUUAAUAAGCAGAGAUGUGAAAAGUCUUUACUGACAUGACAAAAAUGUUCUUGGUUAUCUCCUGUUGAUCCUUCUGACCGUUCCCAAGAAUCCGUUACAUCGAGAAUAUAAACCUUAGCCGGCAACAAAACCGAGCUGUCCCAAUCAACCCAUCUCACAGUAUACUUAAGAUACACAGUUCUUGUUUUGUUUCCACUUUCGAAUCCGUUUCUUAACCGACAUUGAGUACUAUUAUAAGCUUUAGUUUGUUAACACUAUUAUACAAGAUUUGUAACAAACUUUAAGAUCAUUAAUGAAUAAAUCAACAUUCUUCUUUGAAUCAAGAACACUUCAAUAACUCCACUCUAAAUCAUCAUAAUCCAAUCAGAUCAGAACCAUAUACUAACCACAAACGCGUUUCAGAGAGUUUAGCGAUAUACAAUACCUUCGUAAUCACCAUUCUUCGAAACGAUCCAGCGACCAUCAAACGCCUCAUCGAACGAUUCAUACAACACCUGAACACAAAUCCAACGAGCUCAGAUCUAAAAAAUCUUCAGAUCUACGAUAACAUUCGGAAACAUUUUCCCGAGAAAAAUCGAAAUCUACCGUAUUAUCGUCGCAGUGGCAAAGGUUCUGGAGCGAGAGGAGAGCUAGGAUAAGCAUAAGGCCGGAGAAUAGCUGCCGGUCUCUCAUCAUCGGAACGGUUCGAGUAGAUCGGAGGGAGAAGAGAGAGAGAGAGAGAGAGAGUGGAAUCUAUUUUUUUUUUUUCCUGAAGAUUUUAGUUUCUCUGAGUGAUUUAUAUAUUUAAAUCCCGUAGACUCGGUCGAGUGUGUCGAUUUUUGUUGUUUCCACCAAUGAGAUCGCUCGCCACGUGGUGAGAGCCAAUAGAUGGACGCCACGUCAUGCGAAAGAGAGGUAUCCUACGUGCGCAAUUUGUAUUGCUACGUAAUGUGCAUGUUUAUUAUACAGAUAGUCUAACGUCAGUAUUGGGCUGGGCCUGUAAUCAAUUUAAAAGUCUCUGGUAGAGUAAGAGUCUUCUAGAAGCAAAAGUAACACAUUUAUCAGGAACAAAGAACCAAAUCAAACUAAACUAAAAAAAAUGAGGUUUGGUUCGGAUUUAGAUCAUAUAAUACACGAAUGAACGGAUCCUAUAACUUUUGAACUGAAAAACCAAAACCAAACUGGAGCAAACAAAGACCCGAAUGGAUACCCGAAUUUUUAUAAUAUAAUAUAUACACUUAUAAAUAUUAACUACAUUUAGUUUCAAAAUGAUAAAAUAAUUUGAAAUACUAUUUCUAAAAACUAAAUCUCCAAAUACAUUUUAUCCGAAAUAUUUUAAAUUAUUUGAACUAUCCAAAUUUUACCUAAAUUAUUGGAUAAAAAUCUAACAUUUAGUAAAAAAAAGACUGAAUUUACUUACUUUUUUUUGAAACACAUCUGAAUUUUCUUACUUUUAACAAAACUUAACAAAAAAACUAAAAUCGAACGGCUAACGAAUAUGAUCCAAAAAUGACCUCGGAUAUUAUUCGGUUUUUAAUUUUGUUAUCUAAACUAAACUGAAAAAUGAAAUAACCGAAUCAGAACCAAAGUGAAUCCUAAACAUCUAAAACUGAAAAGCAGAAAAAAUCGAAAGAACCGAACCGGAACCGAAUCCAAAAUUCUUUAGCGGAGCAAGAGUCUCUAUUGGGCUGGGCCUACUAAUCAAUUUGAAAGUCUCUAGCUGAGCAAGAGUCUUCCACAUACCAUUGACAAAAGCAAACUUUUUACACACGUAAGUCGUAAUAACCAUUACAGAAAUGUCACACACUAGUGGAAGAGUACAAGAUACUUUGUUAUUUUAAUAUUUGGUAUUAGAAAAAGUGGAAAACUAUAAAAUGUUGAAGAUGAAUAUCUAUAGUUUUACUGUUUAGGUACUAAGUGAUUGGUAACCAUCUUCCCGGUUCUUUCUCCGGUAUACCACGGCGACUAUUAGAACCACAACCGCCACCGUCACUGCAAGAAAGGCUAAAAAGCUCAUACUGCUCGAAUGUGCCUGCAAAGAAAUAAUGAAUACUGACGUUAAGUAAAGUAACACACAUGGUAAUAACCGGUUUGACCUAAACCGAGAUCUGUUACCGGCAGUUUACCUGCAAGAAGCUCUCCGGUCCAGGCAGCUGCUGAGAAACGAGGAUGUAAAAGAGUCCCAUGACUCCUGUAUGACCAAUGACAUUACUGUAAUUGAACUCCAAAGACAGUGUCUCUCCAUUAGUCACUUUCACCGGUUCAGGAUAACAAGACGACAUUCCAACGAUGUAACCAGCUUCGCUUCCAGGCUCAUCUCCAUUGCCAUACUUCGGCAUCGAGGAGCAUAUUACCUCACCGUCCUGAUCAAAAUCCAUAACACAAGAGUCUCAGUUUUUGAGUAAAAAGUUUUUGCCUUAGCUUAAAACCUUAGGUUGGGUGUUUAUACCCAAACCCGAAAUCCGAACUGAGACCAAACCAAAAUUCUAUCUAAACCAUCAUAAAAAAUAUCCAAAUAGAGUCUAAGAAUACUUUCGGACUCGGGUACAAUCCAAACCAAACUAAAAUCCGUACUAGAAUCCAAAAAAUCCACAUUAGUUAAUCUGUUAAUGUUUUUUUCUACAUAUGUUACGUUAAGAUAGUUUAGAAAUUUUUAAAAAAAUUAGAAUUUUUUGUAGUUUUUAUAGGAAUUGCGAAUCGUUAUUUUGGAAUACUUUUAAUCAGUUUAGGUAGCUUGACAAGUUUUUAAUCAGAUUUUUGAUUUUUUUUUUUGUAUAUUUUAAAUAUGUUUUUGUCAAUUUCAUUAAUUUUAUUUCCAGAUUUAAGUACGAUUUUUAGACAAUGGUUAUAAUUUGAUUUGAAUCAAACACAUACGAAAUCGAAUCAAACCCGAUCCAAAAACUAGUAAAAUAUGAAUAAGACCAUUGUGCAUGAUACCGAAAAUCCAAAACAAACCCCUAACAAGACACCAAACGUCCGGGCCUGUUAAAAACUAACCUCUCGGUACAGAGCUGCACCGAUACCACCUGCGUGCUGGUGAGCUACUCCAUAGACAAUAUACCCGUUAAACGGCAUCAUUAAGCUCUUUUUCUUAACAUCGACACACCCAUCACCCUUAGUUUUGCACGGUUUCACGUCAUAUUCCACCUGAAAAGAAAACAAUUAAUACACCUUAGCUAACGUUAAAAGCAUUAAUAAGCAGAGAUGUGAAAAGUCUUUACUGACAUGACAAAAAUGUUCUUGGUUAUCUCCUGUUGAUCCUUCUGACCGUUCCCAAGAAUCCGUUACAUCGAGAAUAUAAACCUUAGCCGGCAACAAAACCGAGCUGUCCCAAUCAACCCAUCUCACAGUAUACUUAAGAUACACAGUUCUUGUUUUGUUUCCACUGUCGAAUCCGUUUCUUAACCGACAUUGAGUCUUAUCGUAGCAGCAGUCUUGACCUCCUUUGUAUCCAGGUUCUAAAGCUCGACCGUACUCAUCAACCGUUACAUUAUAAAGACCACACCGACACUCGGUGCAUCCUUGUUUAUCCACAACCCCUCUAGUGUCAAUAGCGUGAAUAUUUAGAAGCCAUUUGAACUCAUACCCAUCAGGUACUUUCUCCGGGUUACCGAUCUCGAUCGCGUAAGGAUCAGGAACAUACGUCGAAGUCUUGCGUGUUUCUGAUCCUAACCCAAAGUAUUGUCUAACUCUGUUCCUACACAACCCUCCGUUACUAACGAGAAUAUAAUCAGGGCUCGAACCAAG
This 5650-nucleotide long non-coding RNA is filed under the name Brassica napus (rape). Its description in RNAcentral is "long non-coding RNA (BNAP_LNC025309)". The record is from RNAcentral. Lineage: Eukaryota; Viridiplantae; Streptophyta; Magnoliopsida; Brassicales; Brassicaceae.